CCCUUCGUAGUGUAAUGGUAGAGCACUCGGCGCGUAUUCGAGAGGUCCAGGUUCAAGUCCUGGCGAGAGCA
Molecule: transfer RNA, 71 nt
Filed under: Stegodyphus mimosarum
Lineage: Eukaryota; Metazoa; Arthropoda; Arachnida; Araneae; Eresidae
Rfam family: tRNA
About the family: Transfer RNA (tRNA) molecules are approximately 80 nucleotides in length. Their secondary structure includes four short double-helical elements and three loops (D, anti-codon, and T loops).
Source: Rfam by way of RNAcentral